AAAAAAGAAGGAAAUGGUCCCAGAAUAGUUUGGCUUUCAGAGAAGCCCAAGAAUCAAUGGCACCAGAGACACAGGAUCAUGAGGGAGUGGGCCAAGAAGGGGCUGUGGAAAAGCUGGUGAUGCUCUUUACUUCUGACUUGAAAAUCCUCGCUGCUCUUGAUGAGGAGGAGCCACGUGGCCGUGGGGUCUUUCAGCCUACAUUUUUUUCAAGUCUCACCCAGUUGUGGGGCAAAGGUGGAAAAUGAAUUGAUUUACUAUGUUCAUGAUGAUAGUGAGGAGCUUCUUGACAAUUUCACCAUCUUUGCAAAUAGCUCAGAUCUUGGAAAACAGAGUUUGCCCCAAACUCUUUUUGUGGUUGUUGAAUCAGUGAACGAUGAGGCUCCAGUAAUAACAGUCAGUAAAAUCCUUCAGAAAAUGUAUGCCAACCCCUUCUGUAGACCAGCUCUAUGCAAUAGGACUUCCUGUGAUGAUGAAAAUGUUUUGUAUAUGUGCUGUUCAACACAGUAGCCACUACUCACAUGUGGCUACAAAGUAUUUGAAAUGUGGCCAGUAUGAUUAAGUCCUUCUGUUGAAAAACAGAGGAUCAAGUUGAACCCUAACAGAUGACGAAACAAGCCCAGGGAGCAGUGGGGAGCCGAAGGAACCUUGGUGGAGGAUUUGGGCGUUUUGUCAUGUGAUGCAGAACCACAAGAGGAGAAAGAUCCAGCGGAGGGACCUAGGAUCUAGAAAGCUACAAGAGAAGAGCUGGAGUUGGCUGAAGGAGAGAAGACCAAGAAAUAAGGAAGAAUAGCCCUGAGCUAACAUCUGUGCCCAUCUUCCUCUACUUUACAUGUGAGACACCUACCACAGCAUGGCUUGUCAAGCCGUGCCAUGUCCACACCUGGGAUCCGAACCAGUGAACCCCAGGCCGCUGAAGUGGAACCUGCACACUUAACCGCUGCGCCACUGGGCCGGCCCGAGGAGAGAUCAUUUCCAUCUUGACAAACUGGAGUUAGGAAUUGGAGUUAGACCACUUCCAGUGAAUCCUUUGCAUUUUACUUUGAAAUAUGUUCUACUGAGUACUUUUGUGUUCAGGCAGACCAAUGAUUUUUGCGCAUACCUGAUAAAAUAUAUAUGUGUCCACAAGGGGGCUUCAUUUUCUUACUUUUCAACUUUUGCUUUCAAUAAUACUGUACGUUUUGUUUUGAUGGUAUUUUUUAUACCAAAAAUAGAAACACUUGCUUGUUUCUGAUAAACACUUGUCAUCAGUAAAAAGAGAGCUAGGGACAGUAGAAGAAUUAGGGGAGCACAGUCUGAAAUGAUGACUGACAGAGCAGAAGGGUCGAAGAGUGGGGUAGUGAAUUCAUGAAUAUUUCACACUCCCUCCUAUGGAACUCAAAACAACAGUCUGGGUUUUUAGAUGGAUAAUAAUUAAGAUUAUACUGGAUUAUAAUUAGGUUUAUAAAUCCCAUUAACCUGCUGUUUAAGUUAAAGGUGAAUUAAAAAUAUAUUAUCCUAAUUAAUGUGUUAAUUUUUUCAGAUAUUUAUUCCCUUAAACCAUUAUUUCUGUUGGUUUUGGAUUACUUUGAAUUCUGAAUUCAAGUUUGGGGGCCGUUGUUUUUCUUCUCCCCAUCUAUCUGAAGUUUCUAUUACCAAUGACUAGGAACCGGAUGAGGCCUCAC
Molecule: long non-coding RNA, 1661 nt
Filed under: Equus asinus (donkey)
Lineage: Eukaryota; Metazoa; Chordata; Mammalia; Perissodactyla; Equidae
Description: lncRNA (ENSEASG00005033565.1)
Source: RNAcentral